Molecule: long non-coding RNA, 1908 nt
Filed under: Penaeus chinensis
Lineage: Eukaryota; Metazoa; Arthropoda; Malacostraca; Decapoda; Penaeidae
Description: uncharacterized LOC125027318
Source: RNAcentral
CUACAGGAGCCGAGGGCGUGAUAGGGCGUGGUCCCGCGUGUUUUGAGUUGUUGUCGUUGAAGUGAGGGCGUGUCAGUGUUAGUUCCUUGUUCAGCGCUGUGAAUUGUUCAGAUUUGUGACGAGGUCCCCCCACCCAGAAGAAACAGCGCUCCAUAAAAAACCGGGUUCAACAGCGCUCCGGCCAGACCCACCGCAGUCCCCGGAGAGAUGAAGCCGACUUAUGUUUUCCUGUUGGUGCUGGUCUUGGCUGUGAUCGUGUUCCUCAUCGUGUUCCUCGUCAUGAGGUCUCAGUGCCCCGAGGAAGAGCCUGAAGACGGCUGGCAGUGGUGGUGCCAGCCGUCGACGGGGAAUAGUGGCCACGGGUCGCACCACACCACCAACAUUUACAAAAACAAAUACAAGUACAAAAACAAAUAUGCUAAUGAUGGAUACUAAUUGCCGGGAGACCAGCAAGCACAUUAUACAGGAAAACAAAUAACAUGCUACAAGAAAACCACUAAAAAGCAAACUUCAGAGCCCCAGGAAGGGGAAUUUAUAGAUAUGCAACGUACCUUGCAUUCUUCCAAAUAUACUGGUUGCAUGUUCAACAGUCAGUGUACAGGCUUUGUGCGGACUCUAUUCUAUAUGCAUCCUGUUAUCUGUAUAAUGGUAUGUUCAAACGUGCAUUUAUAGUCUAGUCAAUUUUAUGUGUGCAUGUAUGAUUGAUGGGUUAAUUCUCAAUAUACUUAAAACUUCGAUAGAAGCACAUAUUACAUAAUUUCACAUACACAUGAAUAAGCAUAUUGUAAUUAUUUCACAUUAUACAAAAAAUAACUCAAUUUACACUUUCGAAAAUCUCAUGUAAGUUGAGCGUAUACUCAUUUAAUUUGCAAUUUGCAGAAGUCUACCCAUUGCAUCUUAUAGGUAUUAAGCCUAUUUAUAUAGACAUUUCUAUAUAAAUACAAGAUUCUAUCAGAAACACUUUCUAGUCAUUUUUAAAAUUUAUUCAUCAUCAUUUUUUGGGCUAAUUGUCAUUUAUAAUUUUAUUAAUUCGUCUUUUCAAUGUAUUUAUUACUUGCCAAAGGAUAAUAAGUUUCCAAGAAUAGUGUCUAAUUGUCGCCUUCUUGUUCCGCCUGGCAGGCACACACGCGUCCACUUGCAUUCUAAAUCGGUGACUAUUUAGCAUUAGAAAUAGAAUUAGAAACCGUUAAAUAAUCCGCUUACAUGUUUAUAACAUGCAAGCGGUCAAUGAACAAACAAUGAACAUAACAUUGGAUUUAUCUAUAUUUUGAAUUAGAAACGGAUUAUAUUAGCUUCUUUUAUAUAUAUGCUUAUUUCUAAUCUGCUUCAAAAGCUUUUGAUAUAUACACACACACACAAAAAAAACAGUAAAUUCUGUAUAGCAAUUUAUAUAGACAUAGUUCAUGGCUCUUUUAGUAUUUGGAAAUGUGACGCCAUUUUUUGCUAUCUAUUUUUGUCAUCUGAUUGUCCAAUAAAUAUUUUCUGGAUUUUAAAGGGUGUAUUUCGAACCUGCAAUAAAGCCUUACGACAUAAAUAAAAUAAAAUAAAAAGAAAAAGGAAAAGGAAGCAUAAGCAUAAGAAUGAUAAUUUCCUUUAUAUAAUGAAGAGGUCGAUUACAAUAUAAUUAUUUCUUUAAAAUCUUAUUUCCAAUCCUAGCUAAGAGAAUAUAGGCAAAUUUUGAUAGCACUGAAGACGAUGGAAUAAUGGUUAACAACAACAAUGAUAAUCAUAACGAAGAUGGUGAUUGUCAUAAUUAUUGCAAAUAAUGAGCAUGAAAAUUGCGUGAUAAUUGUAAUAACGAUAAUAAUAAUUACCGUUGUUGUAAUUAUAAUAAUCCUAAUAACUAUGGUGACUGUAGUAACGAUAAUGAUAAUCAACAUGACCAUUGUAAUAAAUGAUAAUAAUGAC